UUACUUUACUUGCUUGCCUGCUUGCUCUCAAUGAAGCAGCUACAUCAAAACAAGCAUGGAAAAAUAAGAAGCCACACAUGGAUAACGCCUGAACUCUGCUCUUUGCCCACAGGAAGGGGUGUCCGUAUAGCAGGCGGCCCAAGGCAGCGCACAAGGGAAAGCAUCAGCUGGGCUGACACCAGUGGUGCUGCUCGGCUUUGACCCUGCCUGAGGACAGUCCACAUCCACCUCCAGAUCAGCCAAGUUUCCCAGGCUGGAGAAGUGGGUCACUGUGCAUAGCAUACAGGGCCGUAGCAGAGGUGUCCUUCCCUCCCUGUGGGCAGAGAGCUUUCCUGCUGCCACGUGAAGCUGCCUUUCCACCUCCUGGACCGUGUCUGGCUUCUGCAGGCGGAAUGCUGGGACCCAGUCCAGAAAAGCAGGAAAGCAGCUCGGUGCACGCAGACAGCUUUACUCAUCUCAUGGAACAGCAGAACCGAUUCAGAUUCUUUCAUCCAGUGCACCCGGCCUCUGCAGCCCCCCAGCAGCAGCACCAAAGAGGGAAUGCAUCCUCAGUUCAAUCCCCUGCUCCCUCACACGCUGUCAGAAGCAUGUAACCACAACAACCGGCUUCAUCCUGGCUUUCUAGGGAGAGCAGAGGUGACAACUGCUUAAAGAGAAGGGAGGAGGAGAUAAUACUCGAGAGCUGUGCUGUCUUGUUUCCAGCCUCAAAUGCAUGCUCCGGGUGAAAACAUCUAAACUGUUUUUCAGAUUCGCAUCCCUUUCAGUGGGACCACUGAUGCUCUCAGGCUAACAGCAUUUUUAGUUCUGUACUCUUAAAAAAUGAAAUCCAAGCUGAUUGUAAUGGCUUUAUUUCCGCUGAAGAAUAUGGUUUACAGUAUGGAUAUAAAGACUGUCUUCACCUGAACGACAACUGGAAAGGUUCAUAUGCUUCAGUAAAGCACUGCUGGUUUGUUACAGACAGUAGUAUGCAUAAGCCUAAAUGUACUUUGCUAUUCCAAUUACAUGAUCGGCACUCAUGAAUGGGAGCCUGAGCUUUAUCUCCACUGACCCUGAGAAGCCCCUGGAGAUUUAUGAUGAAAUGAAGCAUAUGUUUUCUGGUGAUUUCUGGAAAAUGAAGAAACAACAACCACUCGUUCUGAUCUUCUCGGGAAACAAAGUGAUAUAUCAUCAGAGCUUCCAUAUUGCCGCAGGGGAAUUUGGAGGGUCCCUACUUUUACUCCCUCAGCACACGCGGAUUUGGCAAUGCUAUGCAGAUGAACAGCAAUUCUGGCUCUUGCCGAUAAAUCAGACCACUUUAAUAGGCUCAGGAAAAUGAUGUGGAAUGUAAAGUGUUCUGCCCUUGUAACCAGCACGGUGGAGCCGCAGGACAUGUUGGAAAUGACACAAUGAACCACUGUGUGCUCUUAUUUGCAGAGUACCCGGACAUAAUCAUGUGGGAAGGAGUGCAGAAGCUUUGCAUUUCCUGGAAACAUUCUCAUCCGAGGGCAGCUGUCAGUUCUUUAGCAAAAGAGGUGGCUGAAGGACAGAGGGAGAAACCUAUGAGGAACAAAAGCAUCCAAGGAGCAGCCAGCAUGAUGGACUACGGUAAUUAGGAAGCUCUAAGACCUGUCUAACAUUUUAGGAGAACAAACUGAACUCUGGGCAGUGCCAGGCACAGGGUGUGUGAACCAGGCAUGAAGCCAUCCACGCCCAACAUUCCACAGCCACCCCUCCAGCCUCUGCCCAGCAAGCUGCACAACAGCCCCAGCACCAACUGGUAAACCAGAAGGUUUGAGAAGGGUCUGUCAAUGAAGUGCCGUGCAAACGGAUGGAUACAAAUUCUCUUCACUUGUGCUCUUUUAAGCACAUGUGCAUUGCAGGUCUCUUUUGACAUCUCAGGAUAACGGAUAUACUGUAAAUAAGCACUAAUUUUAAGUCUUGAUUACUUUAUGUUCUUGAGCUACAAACUUGUUGAUGGUGUUUUCAGAGCUAUUCAAGAACUCCCUUUUCUUCCUUCUCCAUCCUCACGCAGCACAAUUCUCCAUUUUCUUUUUGAGUCACUCCCUCUUGCUCCUUUCUUCGAUUAUUUUAUUCUCCAAGACUUUGGCAAAAGUUAUCAUUCCUGAGAGAGCACCCAUGGUGCAGGAACUAUUUGAUUGCAUUAGAGAGAUGGGCUGAGAUUAAUGUAAACCACAGAGAGUGGAUUAGGAGAACAAUGAAAAAACUCUAAUGAGGUUUGCACAGCCUAGUUCACUUGAGGAGCAAAUUUCUUGACACUUCCCCUUGGAGUUCAAGAUGACACUUUAAUCUCACUAUUAAAAACAUGACCUAAGGAUCGACCAGGGUGGAGCAUGGGAAACAAUGUCCUUUUAAUUGUCUACUCUGGAGUAACAAUCUACUUAUGAUAUAACAGCCCUUGCCGUCUGGCUCCAGGCGAGUCAUACUCCCUUUGAGAGGGUUCUGAGAAAUGUUACUUUCAGUAGGUGGUACAUGACCAAAUUCCAGCUCUUAUCUUGGUUUCAGCAUGUGUGCAGUGAGAGGGACAGGCUUUUCUCAGAUCUCACCAGCCAAAUUACUUCUCAGGGCAUACCCAGGGCUUUCUCAGGGUUGCGUCAGUCUUCCCGCAGAAUGUUAAUAGUGCCCCUUCUAACAGUGUAGAUAGAGUUUGAGGCUGCUUGUGAUCUCCCAGAAAACUCACAGUGUUCCUCAUUUAUCUGUUCUGCAUUUUCUUUACCCAGAUUGUUCUAUCUCACUCUGCGGAGGAAUCACUUUCAGUUUCAUCAGCUGUCUGAUUGCUCUGUAUAGGCUCUGUUUCUGCCAUCUGAAAGAACCCAGAGCACAACAUCACUAGGUAGGAUGUGCUUCAGUGCUCAGCCAGGCCCAGGGGGCCUCUCAGCAGGACGUGCCUGGGACACAGGUAACAAAUGGAUGUUCUCUGUCCUCUGGAGGAAACGUGUCUACACCAGAGGCCACGCUUUCAAGCUGUUGGAGACACACAGCUGUCAAUUUCUCCCUCAACAACCACCACAAACACAAUUAUGGCUGACUGAACUUAGGAUUUUUAAAAUCCCUAUUGUUAGUAAAACUAAAGAUUGAUGUGAAUGGGGGUUGGCAUUACCUUCUACAUGCCAAAGACAAAGGAUUAUCACGCAUGAUUGACUCUUUUGUGACUUCCUGAAAAAAAAAAAAAACUUUCUUACACUUAGCAAAUGUCAAGACUAGGAAAGUUAGUCUCAGGUUUGUCACUAAUGAAAUGGCCUCAGCUCAGUGCCCUUGCUGAGUUUUUGAAGCUUUGUUCCUCGAGUCAAGUAAAUGAUGCACCAGGAAGGUGUAGAUGCGUGUGAUGUGCAUCAGGGCAGAGCGGUGGUUGGAUGCACGUGAAUGACAGGCUAAGCACAGCUGCAUGGGUUUCCAGCCGCUUGGGCUGCCUAUAGAUCAUACUUCGUGUAGGUUUCAUUGUGUUGGGUUUUCAAAAGCGCUCUGAAGCAAUGGACCCGUCCAGAGCCACGGCACCACAGCCAGCGGUGGUUCUGUCACAUGCCCUAAACAUUUUGCUUAUUUUUCCAAUGAAUUAUUCGGGAUGUUGGUUAUUAGCCUGAUUUUGAGGAAAUGAGGCUGAGGCAGCUGCCUGUGUGGGUUAUCAGCUCCCCGUGGCAUCUCUUGAAGCUCUCAGCCCCAUUUAGCCAAACCCCACAGACGUGCAGGUCUCCCCAGCUGCGCAGUCUGGGACACAGGGCAAGCACUACAGCAGGAGAGCAGUGCUCCGGAUGCUACCAGCCAACGACCACUUCUAUUCCCAUUUCUGUGCGGCUACACGAGCAGUUCGCUAGGAGUGAGGCUCAAAGCCCCGGGGAAGCCCUCAUCCCCAACGGCCUGCUGUGACCAGAGCCACGCGGGGCUGUGAGGGAGCAACGCGGCCUCAGCUGCAACCGGCCCUUUCCUCAGGAUGACCCGAGUUGGAAGGCCCGAGAGCGGCACGGAGCGCUGGGGGACAGCCCCGAGGUGAGCACAGUCCCGAACCGCUCGGUAACCUCCUCACAGGGCCCCGAAAUAGGCCCGACACCCCGCUGCCCCCGGCGCUGCCACGCAUGCG
Molecule: long non-coding RNA, 4072 nt
Organism: Gallus gallus (chicken)
Lineage: Eukaryota; Metazoa; Chordata; Aves; Galliformes; Phasianidae
Source: Ensembl